UAGGGAAUCUUCCACAAUGGGCGCAAGCCUGAUGGAGCAACACCGCGUGAGUGAAGAAGGGUUUCGGCUCGUAAAGCUCUGUUGUUAAAGAAGAACACGUAUGAGAGUAACUGUUCAUACGUUGACGGUAUUUAACCAGAAAGUCACGGUGAACUACGUGCCAGCAGCCGCUGUAAUACGUAGGUGGCAAGCGUUAUCCGGAUUUAUUGGGCGUAAAGACAGUGCAGGCGGUUUUCUAAGUCUGAUGUGAAAGCCUUCGGCUUAACCGGAGAAGUGCAUCGGAAACUGGAUAACUUGAGUGCAGAAGAGGGUAGUGGAACUCCAUGUGUAGCGGUGGAAUGCGUAGAUAUAUGGAAGAACGCCAGUGGCGAAGGCGGCUACCUGGUCUGCAACUGACGCUGAGACUCGAAAGCAUGGGUAGCGAACAGG
This 429-nucleotide ribosomal RNA is filed under the name bacterium. RNAcentral describes it as "partial 16S ribosomal RNA". It matches the Rfam family "Bacterial small subunit ribosomal RNA", at positions 355 to 776 of the family's 1533-position model. The record is from RNAcentral.